CCUCGGGGGGCUGCAGUGGGGAAUAUUGCACAAUGGGCGCAAGCCUGAUGCAGCCAUGCCGCGUGUGUGAAAAAGGCCUUCGGGUUGUAAAGCACUUUCAGCGGGGAGGAAGGCGUUAAGGUUAAUAACCUUGGCGAUUGACGUUACCCGCAGAAGAAGCACCGGCUAACUCCGUGCCAGCAGCCGCGGUAAUACGGAGGGUGCAAGCGUUAAUCGGAAUUACUGGGCGUAAAGCGCACGCAGGCGGUCUAUCAAGUCGGAUGUGAAAUCCCCGGGCUCAACCUGGGAACUGCAUUCGAAACUGGCAGGCUAGAGUCUUGUAGAGGGGGGUAGAAUUCCAGGUGUAGCGGUGAAAUGCGUAGAGAUCUGGAGGAAUACCGGUGGCGAAGGCGGCCCCCUGGACAAAGACUGACGCUCAGGUGCGAAAGCGUGGGGAGCAAACAGGAUUAGAUACCCUAGUAGUC
RNAcentral lists this ribosomal RNA (464 nucleotides) under uncultured Klebsiella sp. RNAcentral's name for it is "bacterial SSU rRNA". It matches the Rfam family "Bacterial small subunit ribosomal RNA", at positions 339 to 795 of the family's 1533-position model. The record is from RNAcentral. Lineage: Bacteria; Pseudomonadati; Pseudomonadota; Gammaproteobacteria; Enterobacterales; Enterobacteriaceae.